UCUCCCUGUAGCCCCAACUGUCCUGGAACUCACUAUGUAGACCAGGCUGGUCUUGAACUCACAGAGAUCCGCCUGCCUCUGCCUCCGUAGUGCUGGGAUUAAAGGCAUGCGCCACCAUGCCCG
RNAcentral lists this microRNA precursor (123 nucleotides) under Nannospalax galili (Upper Galilee mountains blind mole rat). RNAcentral describes it as "miRNA (ENSNGAG00000005988.1)". The record is from RNAcentral. Lineage: Eukaryota; Metazoa; Chordata; Mammalia; Rodentia; Spalacidae.